GAUGAACGCUGGCGGCGUGCUUAACACAUGCAAGUCGAACGGAAAGGCCCAAGCUUGCUUGGGUACUCGAGUGGCGAACGGGUGAGUAACACGUGGGUGAUCUGCCCUGCACUUCGGGAUAAGCCUGGGAAACUGGGUCUAAUACCGGAUAGGACGAUGGUUUGGAUGCCAUUGUGGAAAGUUUUUUCGGUGUGGGAUGAGCUCGCGGCCUAUCAGCUUGUUGGUGGGGUAAUGGCCUACCAAGGCGUCGAUGGGUAGCCGGCCUGAGAGGGUGUACGGCCACAUUGGGACUGAGAUACGGCCCAGACUCCUACGGGAGGCAGCAGUGGGGAAUAUUGCACAAUGGGCGCAAGCCUGAUGCAGCGACGCCGCGUGGGGGAUGACGGCCUUCGGGUUGUAAACUCCUUUCGCUAGGGACGAAGCGUUUUUGUGACGGUACCUGGAGAAGAAGCACCGGCUAACUACGUG
Molecule: ribosomal RNA, 468 nt
Filed under: uncultured bacterium
Lineage: Bacteria
Description: partial 16S ribosomal RNA
Rfam family: Bacterial small subunit ribosomal RNA
Source: RNAcentral